CUAUUUUGUGUAUAUUUGGAUCGACAAUGAAUUUGUCAAAAUCAAUGCGAUAUAACAUGAUUUUAUUGAUGUUUUAAGGUGUAGCUUUUAUCAAAUUUGAAGUAGUUCUAACAAUCCCACAGCCAACAAAAAUGCACCUUGUUUGUUUGCUGUUAACCAACUUACUUCAUGGUAGUGCCAUGAGAAUCAAAACUAUAGGCAUGGACCACUUGCCACUAAUGAGUAGUUAUGGUAUACAGAUAAUUCUCUUUAGCUGCCAGGUUUUGUUAAGCUUCAUGAAAGCAGAAAACAUGUGUGGAGAUUUACCCUUUCAUGAUAAAUACAUGGGUUGAGUCUAGCUGGUUUUUUCAUUAUAAGUUUUAUGUUUCACAUUUUCUUUG
This 380-nucleotide long non-coding RNA is filed under the name Medicago truncatula (barrel medic). RNAcentral's name for it is "long non-coding RNA (MTRU_LNC005464)". Lineage: Eukaryota; Viridiplantae; Streptophyta; Magnoliopsida; Fabales; Fabaceae. The record is from RNAcentral.